RNAcentral lists this ribosomal RNA (447 nucleotides) under Triticum aestivum (bread wheat). RNAcentral's name for it is "partial small subunit ribosomal RNA". The record is from RNAcentral. Lineage: Eukaryota; Viridiplantae; Streptophyta; Magnoliopsida; Poales; Poaceae.
GCCAGGUGCUGGAUCAAGGAUCCACAUCACACUUCAAAAUUUGCGCCAAAAGCACAUGAGGGUUUUAUGCUUGGAUAUGGAAAGGAUUCACACUCCUACAGAGUCUUCAAUCUCUUUCAUUAUAAAGUGGUUGAAACAGUGAAUGUGUGGUUCGAUGAGACUAACGGUUCACAAAGAGAGCAACUACCAAAUGUGCUAGAUGAAGUUCCAUCCAGUGAAUCAAUCAAACUUAUGGGAACUGGAGAAAUCAUACCCUUUGAAGCUCAACCUGAAGAGGAACUUAUCAUCUCCGCACCUGAUCAACCUGAAGACAAUGCUCAGCCUGAAGACAAUCCCUCUAACAAUGACAAUGAUCAGCAAGAACAAAAUCUUCGCCCUGUACAUCCUCGUGUUGCAAAUGAAGUGCAGAUUGAGAGAAUAAUUGAUAGCAUCAAUGCACCCGGUCCG